GCCAUUGUGUGUCUAUGGGGUCCCUAUGGGGCCGAUGUGUAUCUAUGGGGUCCCUAUAGGGCCCUUAUGUGUCU
Molecule: long non-coding RNA, 74 nt
Filed under: Coturnix japonica (Japanese quail)
Lineage: Eukaryota; Metazoa; Chordata; Aves; Galliformes; Phasianidae
Description: lncRNA (ENSCJPG00005002572.1)
Source: RNAcentral